ACAGGAAGCCUGUGAUGUCCUAGCCAUGAUGUCUGAACCUGGCUGAAGGACUCUUCUGAAGAUGAACCCUUAGGCUCUGAGGCUUCCAGGGGA
Molecule: small nucleolar RNA, 93 nt
Organism: Chrysolophus pictus (golden pheasant)
Lineage: Eukaryota; Metazoa; Chordata; Aves; Galliformes; Phasianidae
Source: Ensembl